This 880-nucleotide long non-coding RNA is filed under the name Homo sapiens (human). RNAcentral's name for it is "HSALNT0289977". The record is from RNAcentral. Lineage: Eukaryota; Metazoa; Chordata; Mammalia; Primates; Hominidae.
CCACAACCUACCUGCCAGUUUGGUCACAGGUAUCUCCCAAGAUACACAAUCACCUGGAGUGGAAGCUUCAGGACAACAGGGCUGGGAACCUGCGUGUUUCAGAUAAGAUACCUCUUGGAUACCUCUUGAUUCACUCUUCUUCCUGCCACUGUGUUGCAUGAAUACCCUUUAUGGAGGUUACCAAAUCCAGCAAAGUCAUCUUCCUACUAGAAAAAGACAGCAUCUCCUCAUCCUGCAUUCACUACAUGGUGGAACAAUGGGUGCUCAUGAGAGAUCGGGGGAAGAAAAGCAAAGAACCUGGUGUUGCCUCUUUGGGUUUUUCUGAGUUGGGAGUUUGGAGGCUGAAACCAAGAGGUCAGCUGGGACUGUGGUCUCAUCUGAGGCUUGACUGGGGGAGGAUUCACUGCCAAGCUCUCAUGGUGUUGGCAGCAUGCAGCUCCCUGAUGGCUGUCUGAGGGAUGGCCCCCAUUUCUGCUGGCUGUCAGCUCCUCAACCUGCAGCCCUCUCCAAAUGAGAGCUCAAACAACAAGGCAGCUUGCUUCUUCAAAUCCACCAAGGGAUAGUCUUCUUAAGACACUGCAGACUCACUGUGUAAAAAUUGUAAAAACACAAGGUAAUAUAAUCAUGUGCAUUCCAUCACCUUUGCCAUAUUCUGUUAGUUAAAGGCAGGUCACAGCUUCCACCCACCCUCAGGCGGUAGUGAAUUCUACCAGGCCACGCACAUCAGAAGAUGGGAUCACAGGGGCUACCUCAGAGGCUGCUGGCACUUCUGUUGACCUUCCACACUUUGACUUUAAAUUCUCCCACAACUCCCAAAUUUAAACACCAGCUUAGGCCAAACUCCAAAAUCCCAGAUUCACAUAUACAAUGCCUAGUGGGU